GAAAUGCGAUACGUAGUGUGAAUUGCAGAAUUCAGUGAAUCAUCGAAUCUUUGAACGCACAUUGCGCCCUUUGGUAUUCCAAAGGGCAUGCCUGUUCGAGCGUCAUUUGUACCCUCAAGCUUUGCUUGGUGUUGGGCGUCUUUUGUCUUUGGCCUCGCCCAAAGACUCGCCUUAAAACGAUUGGCAGCCGGCCUACUGGUUUCGCAGCGCAGCACAUUUUUGCGCUUGCAAUCAGCACAAGGACGGCAAUCCAUCAAGACUACAUUUUUACGUUUGACCUCGGAUCAGGUAGGGAUACCCGCUGAACUUAAGC
This 313-nucleotide unclassified non-coding RNA is filed under the name plant metagenome. RNAcentral describes it as "partial contains 5.8S ribosomal RNA, internal transcribed spacer 2, and large subunit ribosomal RNA". The stretch from base 1 to 105 matches the Rfam family "5.8S ribosomal RNA", at positions 50 to 154 of the family's 154-position model. The record is from RNAcentral.